This 496-nucleotide ribosomal RNA is filed under the name uncultured bacterium. RNAcentral describes it as "partial 16S ribosomal RNA". It matches the Rfam family "Bacterial small subunit ribosomal RNA", at positions 28 to 506 of the family's 1533-position model. The record is from RNAcentral.
GAUGAACGCUGGCGGCGUGCCUAAUACAUGCAAGUCGAGCGAACAGACGAGGAGCUUGCUCCUCUGACGUUAGCGGCGGACGGGUGAGUAACACGUGGAUAACCUACCUAUAAGACUGGGAUAACUUCGGGAAACCGGAGCUAAUACCGGAUAAUAUAUUGAACCGCAUGGUUCAAUAGUGAAAGACGGUUUUGCUGUCACUUAUAGAUGGAUCCGCGCCGCAUUAGCUAGUUGGUAAGGUAACGGCUUACCAAGGCAACGAUGCGUAGCCGACCUGAGAGGGUGAUCGGCCACACGGGACCUGAGCAACGGCCAGGACCCCUAGGGAGGGCAGAAGUAGGAAAUCUUGACAAUUGGGCGAAGGCUUGACCAGGAAAGGCGGGGGGGGUGAGAAGGCCCUUCGGUUGGUAAAAACCUGUUAUUGGGAAAGAACACAUGUGCAAGUAACGAUGCAGGUAUGACCGGAACCUAAGAAGAAGGCCACGCUUAAUUACGG